Molecule: microRNA precursor, 93 nt
Filed under: Pelobates cultripes (western spadefoot toad)
Lineage: Eukaryota; Metazoa; Chordata; Amphibia; Anura; Pelobatidae
Source: RNAcentral
GGUGUCUUUUAUACAGGUAACGAGCUGAUAUUAGGAGCACUCACUUAAUGGGAGUGCUCCUAAUAUCAGCUUGUUACCUGUAUAAAAGACACC